This 618-nucleotide ribosomal RNA is filed under the name uncultured bacterium. RNAcentral's name for it is "bacterial SSU rRNA". It matches the Rfam family "Bacterial small subunit ribosomal RNA", at positions 338 to 1363 of the family's 1533-position model. The record is from RNAcentral.
CCUACGGGAGGCAGCAGUGGGGAAUUUUGGACAAUGGGCGAAAGCCUGAUCCAGCAAUGCCGCGUGCAGGAAGAAGGCCUUCGGGUUGUAAACUGCUUUUGUACGGAACGAAACGGUCUGCUUUAAUACAGUGGGCUAAUGACGGUACCGUAAGAAUAAGCACCGGCUAACUACGUGCCAGCAGCCGCGGUAAUACGUAGGGUGCGAGCGUUAAUCGGAAUUACUGGGCGUAAAGCGUGCGCAGGCGGUUAUAUAAGACAGUUGUGAAAUCCCCGGGCUCAACCUGGGAAUUGCAUCUGUGACUGUAUAGCUAGAGUACGGUAGAGGGGGAUGGAAUUCCGCGUGUAGCAGUGAAAUGCGUAGAUAUGCGGAGGAACACCGAUGGCGAAGGCAAUCCCCUGGACCUGUACUGACGCUCAUGCACGAAAGCGUGGGGAGCAAACAGGAUUAGAUACCCUGGUAGUCCACGCCCUAAACGAUGUCAACUGGUUGUUGGGUGCAUUAGUACUCAGUAACGAAGCUAACGCGUGAAGUUGACCGCCUGGGGAGUCGGCCGCAAGGUUGAAACUCAAAUGAAUUGACCGGNUGAGAGNGCGACGACGACGACGAGGGAGGAGG